CAGGAUGAACGCUGGCGGCGUGCCUAAUACAUGCAAGUCGAACGAAUCUCUUUUAGAGAUGAGUGGCGAACGGGUGAGUAAUACAUAGGUAACCUGCCCCUGUGCGGGGGAUAACAGGAGGAAACUCCUGCUAAUACCGCAUAGCCAUGAGCACCGCAUGGAGCUCAUGCCAAAUAUCCUUUAUGGGAUAGCGCAGGGAUGGACCUAUGGCGCAUUAGCUGGUUGGCGGGGCAACGGCCCACCAAGGCAACGAUGCGUAGCCGGCCUGAGAGGGCGGACGGCCACAUUGGGACUGAGACACGGCCCAGACUCCUACGGGAGGCAGCAGUAGGGAAUUUUCGGCAAUGGGGGAAACCCUGACCGAGCAACGCCGCGUGAGCGAAGAAGGCCUUCGGGUCGUAAAGCUCUGUUGUAAAGGAAGAACGGCGCAUACAGGAAAUGGUAUGCGAGUGACGGUACUUUACCAGAAAGCCACGGCUAACUACGUGCCAGCAGCCGCGGUAAUACGUAGGUGGCGAGCGUUAUCCGGAAUCAUUGGGCGUAAAGAGGGAGCAGGCGGCCGCAAGGGUCUGUGGUGAAAGACCGAAGCUAAACUUCGGUAAGCCAUGGAAACCGGGCGGCUAGAGUGCGGAAGAGGAUCGUGGAAUUCCAUGUGUAGCGGUGAAAUGCGUAGAUAUAUGGAGGAACACCAGUGGCGAAGGCGACGGUCUGGGCCGCAACUGACGCUCAUUCCCGAAAGCGUGGGGAGCAAAUAGGAUUAGAUACCCUAGUAGUCCACGCCGUAAACGAUGGUCACUAAGUGUCGGGGGUCAAACCCCGGUGCUGCAGUCAACGCAAUAAGUGACCCGCCUGAGUAGUACGUUCGCAAGAAUGAAACUCAAAUGAAUUGACG
Molecule: ribosomal RNA, 892 nt
Filed under: uncultured bacterium
Lineage: Bacteria
Description: bacterial SSU rRNA
Rfam family: Bacterial small subunit ribosomal RNA
Source: RNAcentral